AGCGAACGCUGGCGGCAGGCCUAACACAUGCAAGUCGAACGAACCUUUCGGGGUUAGUGGCGGACGGGUGAGUAACACGUGGGAACGUGCCUUUAGGUUCGGAAUAACUCAGGGAAACUUGUGCUAAUACCGAAUGUGCCCUUCGGGGGAAAGAUUUAUCGCCUUUAGAGCGGCCCGCGUCUGAUUAGCUAGUUGGUUGAGGUAAUGGCUCACCAAGGCGACGAUCAGUAGCUGGUCUGAGAGGAUGAUCAGCCACAUUGGGACUGAGACACGGCCCAAACUCCAACGGAGGCAGCAGUGGGGAAUCUUGCGCAAUGGGCGAAAGCCUGACGCAGCCAUGCCGCGUGAAUGAUGAAGGUCUUAGGAUUGUAAAAUUCUUUCACCGGGGACGAUAAUGACGGUACCCGGAGAAGAAGCCCCGGCUAACUUCGUG
This 433-nucleotide ribosomal RNA is filed under the name uncultured bacterium. RNAcentral's name for it is "partial 16S ribosomal RNA". It matches the Rfam family "Bacterial small subunit ribosomal RNA", at positions 29 to 507 of the family's 1533-position model. The record is from RNAcentral.